This 498-nucleotide ribosomal RNA is filed under the name uncultured bacterium. Its description in RNAcentral is "partial 16S ribosomal RNA". It matches the Rfam family "Bacterial small subunit ribosomal RNA", at positions 28 to 507 of the family's 1533-position model. The record is from RNAcentral.
GACGAACGCUGGCGGCGUGCCUAAUACAUGCAAGUCGAGCGGACGGAUGGGAGCUUGCUCCCAGACCGUCAGCGGCGGACGGGUGAGUAACACGUGGGCAACCUGCCUGUAAGACUGGGAUAACUCCGGGAAACCGGGGCUAAUACCGGAUAACUCUUUCCCUCACAUGAGGGAAAGCUGAAAGAUGGCAUCUCGCUAUCACUUACAGAUGGGCCCGCGGCGCAUUAGCUAGUUGGUGAGGUAACGGCUCACCAAGGCGACGAUGCGUAGCCGACCUGAGAGGGUGAUCGGCCACACUGGGACUGAGACACGGCCCAGACUCCUACGGGAGGCAGCAGUAGGGAAUCUUCCGCAAUGGAGGAAAGGCUGACGGAGCAACGCCGCGUGAGUGAUGAAGGUUUUCGGAUCGUAAAACUCUGUUGUCAGGGAAGAACAAGUACCGGAGUAACUGCCGGUAUCUUGACGGUACCUGAACAGAAAGCCACGGCUAACUACGUG